This 11236-nucleotide long non-coding RNA is filed under the name Medicago truncatula (barrel medic). RNAcentral describes it as "long non-coding RNA (MTRU_LNC001595)". Lineage: Eukaryota; Viridiplantae; Streptophyta; Magnoliopsida; Fabales; Fabaceae. The record is from RNAcentral.
ACCAGUUGAAAAUCCCCCAUUUUAUAAACCACCGGUAGAGAAACCACCUGUGUAUAAACCACCAAUAGAGCAACCUCCAAUUUAUAAGCCACCUGUAGAAAAUCCUCCAAUUUAUAAACCACCAGUAGAGAAACCACCCGUGUAUAAACCACCGUUUGAGAAACCUCCAAUCUACCAUCCACCAGUAGAGAUACCACCAGUGUACAACCCACCAGUUGAACAUCCUCCAAUUUACAAGCCUCCUGUAUACAAACCACCAGUAGAGCAACCUCCCGUCUAUAAGCCACCAGUAGAGAAGCCUCCAAUUUACAAGCCACCAGUAGAGAAACCUCCUGUUUACCAACCUCCUGUUUACAAGCCCCCAGUUGAGAAACCUCCAGUGUACAAGCCACCUGUAGAAAAGCCACCAGUGUACAAGCCACCUGUAGAAAAGCCACCAGUGUACAAGCCACCUGUAGAAAAGCCUCCUAUAUACAAACCACCAGUAGAGAAACCACCAGUGUACAAACCACCCGUUGAGAAACCCCCGGUUUAUAAGCCACCAGUAGAGAAACCACCUGUGUACAAGCCACCAGUUGAGAAGCCCCCAAUUUACAAGCCACCAGUAGAGAAACCACCUGUAUACAAGCCACCAGUUGAGAAGCCUCCAGCUUACAAGCCACCAGUUGAGAAGCCACCUGUAGAGAAACCACCAGUGUACAAGCCACCGGUUGAGAAGCCCCCAAUUUACAAACCACCAGUUGAGAAGCCUCCAGUGUACAAGCCACCGGUUGAGAAACCACCUGUCUACAAGCCACCUGUAGAAAAUCCACCUGUUUACAAGCCACCAUUUGAGAAACCUCCAAUUUAUAAACCGCCAAUAGAGUAUCCACCCGUGUACAAGCCCCCUUUUGAGAAACCCCCCAUCUACAAGCCACCUGUAGAGAAACCUCCUUUUUACAAGCCUCCGUUUGAGAAUCCACCAUUUUAUAUACCUCCAGUUGAGGAGCCUCCUGUUUACAAGCCUCCAUUCGAGAAGCCACCAAUUUACACUCCUCCAUUCUAGAGCCCACCUUACCACCCAAAGUUCCCUCGGGCAGGCGAUGGUACUCGUUAAUAGAACAUGCUAUGAAGAAAAUAUGUUAAAUAAGAGAUAUAUAGAGUUUUUUAUUUAAUCAAGGAAUAUAUAUAUUCAUGUAAUCUUCAUUUCAAUACUUUGUUUACAAUACUCUUGCUAUGAUAAGAAUAUGAGUGAAAAACAGAGAAAGAAAAUAGUGUGCUUUUCUAUUCGAAAUUAUGAAUAAGAUUUCUAUGAUUUAGAUGUUGUGUUGGUUGACUAAAUCGUGAUACAUCGACAGAGGCAGAGCCCCUCAUGCGCCAAGGUGGGUCAUGGCCCACCCCCAAAUUUUGUUUCUUAUUAUAUAUAUAUUAUGUUUUGUAAAUUUUUGAUGUUUUUGUAGCAUGUUGUAGUGGUUAAGAGCCUUUUUGCCAAGUCGUAUGUGCUAGGUUCAACUCUUGCCAAAACCAUUUUUAUUUAUUCUUUUAUUUUCUUUUGUAUAAAAAAAAAACAUAAUUCAUAAUUGUUAAAAUAAUCCUUUUUUUUGUUACUUAAUCCUUUCUUUCUUUAAUAAAACAUAACUCCUUUAUUCGAUUUAAAAUAAUCUUUCCUUUCCUUACUCUUAUUUUUGGAUACAAUUGUCUCUUUACUCUUUUAUUUUAAUUUUUUUUUUAUACAAAGGGGACUUCAACUCUUUUUUGUCAAAAAACAUUCUCUUUUAAAACAUAUAACAUAUUUUUUAUACUUAGUCGUUUGAUUCAAUUCGAUUUUAUACCUAUACAUCUGUUUAUUGAAGUCGAGUCAUUUAAUUCAGUCGUUAGGUUCAAUGGCCUAGUUGUUCGAUCAAUUAUCUUGAACUUUAUCAAGGUUGAUAAACAGUUCAUAUUUUAAAAUACCGGUUUAAAUUAUAUUCAACAAAUAACAAAUUUAUAGUCAUUGGAACCAACCAAUAAUAAAAUGUACUUGUAAGAAAAUAAAGCCUCAUCACUAUUUAUGGCCCACCCUAUACUUUUUUCCUAGCUCCGCCACUUUACAUCUUCGUAUUCUUUAGGAAGUUUCAACCUUGUUGACUAUGACAACAGUGACGACUAUAACGAGACUCGCUAUUGACUAUGACAACAGUGACGACUAUAACGAGACUCCCUACUUUUUGGUUUGCUUCAACAGGUUCUCAACAUAAAUAACUAACCAAGUUAAUUUGCCUGUGAAAUGUGAUAUUAGUAAGGUGCAUGAAGGUUAAGUUCUUUAGCAAAGCUUAGUAUCUUGAAUUAAAGAAUAUCGUUAAUUAAACUAAAUAUUCAUAUUAGGUAUCACAAUUUUCAAGACUUUAUAUGUACGUGUUGAUCCAUUAAUUAAGAGAAAUUAGACUUUAGACCCGUGCGUCGCACGGGUCAUUUCGACUAAUAUAUAAUAAUAAGUAAUGGUAAAAAAAAUUCUAAAAUAAAUAAAAGAUGAAGAGUAUUAUACAUUUUACUUACUCAAGUUCAAAAAAUAAAGUAGGAGAUGACAUGAAAUCGUUUAGUUGAAACAAACGAAUAUUAAAAAAUAAAAAUUAGACAACGACAGGGAUCUAAAAUUCUAUUUCUAAUCCUUCACAUAUCAAAAUUACAAUUGGUUCUCUUCAUUGUAAUCAUCUAAACUUAAUUAAAAAAUUUACAAGUGCAAAUAGAAUCGACAUUAUACAAGUCACUACUUGAUUCCAAAAACCUAUGUUUCAUGAAAACCACUCAUACCUAAAUAACAAUAAUAAACCUUCAAAACAAAAAUCAACUAUUCUCAAAGGACCCAAAAGAAAGAUUUUUAGCCUUCUAAAUCACAAUUUCUCUUGUUGUAUUGUUUUUGUGUCAAAAGCACCAUAAGUUGAAUAGUAGGCUCAGACACAUGACUUUCCUCAUAAGACAAAAUCACCAGUUUUUUAUAGGUUGAAAAAAUAAAUCAAAUAUCCUUAACUUUCAAUAACGCUUAGAAACAACUGAAACUUUUGCAUUAUCUCAAUCCACAAACAAAAUUGAAGACCUUUAUAUUUGCUUUAGGCACCUUAAGGAAUUCUAUGUAAAUUGUUUUCCUGCAAUGAAAUGCUAAACACAAUGAGCAAAGAAGAAGAAUUAACAACAAUAUUUGGAUUGUUUUAUUUAGCUUACAAUUCUUUAAACUAAUCAANAACACAAUGAGCAAAGAAGAAGAAUUAACAACAAUAUUUGGAUUGUUUUAUUUAGCUUACAAUUCUUUAAACUAAUCAACAAAAAAUUAAAUUUGCAUUAUAUCCUCCACAAUAUCAAGAAUUUUUCAAAGGGAUCAUUCUAUUUGUAUGGCUAUGAUGAGAACUCAUGUGUGUCCAUGAAGACCAGCUCUACGGAUAACCAUGUUCAUAUUAACUAUUUUAGGAGUGAAAAUAGGAUUGGAUUGGAUUUAGUAGUGAGCUGUUGUUUUUGAUUUCAGAAGCAUUUGAAAAUAACAUUUUGAUUAAAUGGAAAUAAUAGGAAGAAUUUGUUAAUAAAAGUGAUUUUUUUUUUUUUUUUUAUGUUGAUCUUUUUAUUGUUGUGUUAGAAACAAAAUAGGACGAAAUUGUAUUUUUUUUUUUAUGUUUAUCUUUUUAUUGUUGUGUUGGAAACAAAAUAGGAGGAAAUUGUUAUAGGAAUAGGAGGAACGAUUUUUAAAGUUUAUCUCUUAAUUAAACAGGUUUAAUUGAACACGGGGGUAAUAACGUAAAAGUCAUCAUAAAAUCUAGGUUAAAAUUAGGUUAAAAAUUGGCUUACGGGUUAACUUUUAUAUAUAAAGAAGUCAAGAGAAUCUAGAUCUGUGAAGCCCCGAUACUUCAAAAUGGAUGAUGUAUCGUAUCCGCUGCGUAUUCUGUAUCGAUACCUGCCCGAUACUUCUCAAAUUUAUGAGUUUUAUUUGAUUCUUCGAAUUCGAAUUUUGAGAAUUUUAGGGUUUGAAGGUUGGUGAUGGAGGUGAAUCUGAGUUUAUAUUAAGAAUUGAUGAAGAAUUUAAGGAGAGUGCAGUGAUGGAUAGGUAACUGAGUAUGAAUUGGUAUGCAGUUUGGAAAAACAAAACAAGAGGCAGUAGCAGCACCCCCACCCUUCCUCUACUUCUUCGACAAUAUGAGUGUUAGAUUCAUUUUCCUAGGUGUGAUUUUGAGGCAGAUGAAUAUGUGUGAGAGAUUGUAGAGGAAGAUCUCAGAUAUAGCUUUUAGGGAUGAACAUGAAUGAAUGAAUUUGUAGAUGAAGAUGAAUGUUGUUUGAACAUUUAAUUAAGAAAUUUUUAAUUGUUUUUUGUUUUAAUAUUUGAAAUUAUUAAAUUGUAUUUUGAAAUUCAAAAAACCUGUUUUAAUGACAUGUAAAUGACAUUUUCCAAAUUGGCAAUGCCACAUAGGCAAAAUUUUACCACCUGUGCAUUUUUGGAUGUGAAAAUAGGGGGUAAGACUAAAACUGCAACAAAAAUGAUAAUUGAAAAACAAUUUUAAUCUGUUUUAAAAGGGCAGGACCAAUUUCCUGAGUAGGCCACAACACGAGGACCAAAAGUGUAAUUAAGCCUUAUAUUUAUGUUGAUGUGCUACAAGCUUAUGACUGGUUUCUUUUGUUUGAUAAUAUAUUUGCAUAUUAAAUAAAAUGGUUAUAAUUAUAUUCUACAUUUAAUUAUAUAAUUUUUUUAUUGACGUAUCCCAACCAUAUCGUAUCUUGAUUUUUGAAAUUUUUUCGUAUUGACGUAUCGGUGCAGUAUCGUAUCUCGUAUUCGGGCUUCAUAGAUCUAGACUAUUAAUUUUUUUGAUAAACAAGAUUAUUAUUAUUUUUUGACAAAAACAAAGUGAGAUUCAUUCAUUCAAAUUGAUAGAGUACAUCAGAUACAAACAUUGCUAAAAACGUAAAGGAUAAAUCUAUGAACAAACUCACAACACUAAAGUUCAUACAACAGCAAAAUGUCUACAAAUAAUAUGAUAAAAUCUAAGUCACCAAAAUAUUCAUGCUUCCGGGUAUGCAACGUUGGCGCCCAAAUCAUUGAUUGAAUUUGUAAUUGACUAAUGUCGAUCUUUCAACAUGAACUAAACGAACACCGCGUCAAGACGCGAAAUCAAACAUCACAUAAGACCACUAACAACACAAUGCCACAAUUAGAUGACGAAAUCACAAAAACUCAAAAGGGAAAACUUGAUAUAUGUGAAAACCAUUUGUUUAGAUCGAAAGAAAAGAGAAAAAACGAUGUAGAGGGGUGAUUUUAGGUCAAAAAUGACCUAAAACCAGUUCUUUUUAAUAAACGAAGGAGAAAGAAUGUUUAGAGAGAAGUUGGAGUUUUUUUUUACUUAAAAAAUUAGGAUAAGCAAAAUUAUUAUAGAGGGAUAAAGGGCUCCCCAACCCAUAUACAAAAUGAUGGUUGCAAUGCCAUGUAGAAAAUAAAAAGAUAACAUUGCCUUUCUUUUUACAAUUAAACUAGUUACAAACCCGUGCGUUGCACGGGUUUAAUAACGUAUUUUAUAAAAAAAAAAUCUUUUAAAAGAAAAAUGAGCAAAUUAAUGAAUAUUGCACAAACAUUAUAAAUCUUUAUCAAAAUAUUUAUGAAAGCUUUAUCAAGUCUUUAAUACACAUUAAUAUUUGUGAUGAUUGAUAAAAGAAUUAAAAAGAGUAAAGGGUAUAGAAAUAAAUUUAUUAAAGAAUUAACAAUUUGUUUAAACUUAUUUUUGUUACAAUUUAGACCAAAAAAAAUAUUGGACUUCAUUGAGUUUCUCUAUAAUUUUUUUAUCAGGCUUGAAGUUAUGACUCUGAGUUUGAAAACCGCAAAAUUCACAAAAAUUAUUGAAGAAACACUAUAAACAAAUAAACGGCAUCGUCAAAAAUGAAAUCAUAUUUGGCUAUAGUGAUCAAGCAAACAAAAAAAAAGAAGCAUAUUAAAUACCUAUAAUCAAUGGAUUCUAAUUGCAUAGAGGCGACACUUAUACUUUCUCUAUGUUUGUUCAUCAAUGAGAGUGAUUAUUUUGCGCUUUCCUUUCAGAAUUGUUCUUGACACCUAGUUUGGGAAAUGCUAAACAGGGAAAUAACUGUAAUAUUAAUCUAAUGCAUAUUAACAUGGAUAAGAUGUAUGCGAAUAUAGUUAUAUAUAACUUAUGAAAUGAAGGUAACAUAACUGAUUUUAAGCUAAAGAAAAUGUACCAUGACUUCUAAUUUAUCUUUCUAUUAUCUUCCUAUAAAGUCUAGAGAAAUGCAUGCAUGUGCAUUAUAUGUACCCCGUUGACCAAUUAACAUUUUUGAAACAAAUGAAAAUUAAGCAUCACUCCCGCAUGUGCAUCUAUAGCUAACACCAUUUGACAUUGAUGUCUUCGAACAUUUGGUGCAACUCUCAUAAUACCAUCCAAACUGGUUAGGAUUGAAUUUAGUUGUUUUUCCAAAUAGUGAUGGAGUAUGUAUCCUAACACAAAUUAUGCACGUGAAAUAAAGAAUAGUGCAAUAUGCAUUUUUAAUUUGUGCGUAAAAAAAUUCAAAGCAUGUUUGUGAAAAAAAAAAAAAAAAACAGACCUUGACUAAGUUUAUAGAUUCAUCAAUUGGCCUAACUUGAGACAGAUUGGAAAAAUCGUUCUACGAAGUACUUUUUAAACUUUACUUUUUAAUCUAUCUGAGCUUGAGAAGUGUUAAGUUCACGACAACAAUUCAAGAAACAUGGUCAAUAAACAAUCAAAUCAGAUUGUGAAAUAAUAAGUUACUCUAACACUGUAUUGUGAAAUCAUAAUGCAAACUUACUAAGUCUUAAACUUUUCAACAACCGGAUGAUGUAGGUUGAUGAGCAGCCUCGAACCUGACCAAUUGUUACAUCUAUUUGCGUUGUCAUUGACUACAAAAUAGAAGCAAAGAAUUCAAGGUAAAUAAAUGGUAAAUGAUAAAGCUACAAAGUAUUUUACCCAUAAUGUUACAUCAACUAUAUUCCCAAUGCUCUAAAUCUCUAUAUCGAGUUAUUACAUGAACUCGAUCACCCUAAAUCCGAGAAAGAAACCAAAAAAUAUAAAUAAAUCAAAAUGUAUACUAAUAAGUAACAUUGAUAAAUCAUAAAAGAAAUUACUACAAAUCUUAACUAACUUAUCUAACCUUUGCAUCACAAAUAAUGAGCUUCAUAUGUUGAUUCUCAUUACUACCAGUCACAAUUCAAGAAUCCAGUACUCCAAAUCCUAUUUUCCAAACGUCUAAAUCAUUUUUGAGAUACUUAAUGUAGUCAUAAUCCCUUGACAUUGAAAUUCAUAUAUAGAAAUACAAUAAUACAUCAUUUAAUUUUAUUCCCUUUGUUCAUUCUGAUAUCGAAAGAAGCUAACAUAUUUCUAUGUGAUCAAUUUUUGUAUCAUCAAAUUAACCUGAUCUUAAAUGUACAAAUUUCUAUCAUCAACUUUCUGGACCCCAAUGAUAUGAUCAAAACAAAUUUACACCAAUCAACUUUUUGCACGGCUCAAUGAUAUACGAAAGAAUAAAUAAAAUAUGAAAACUGUUACAGCUUUAGGAUUACUCACAAAAACUAAAAUAAUUGAAAUGCAUCAAUUAUUUUCAACUCCUGUACCAGAAGCUAAAAUAACAAUUGUGUCAAAACCUUACCAUCAGUUAAAAUUCAGUCAUCAUGACCUCUACUAUACUCCACAUAACAAAAGACGAUUUUUCUACAGCCAUGCAACAUAACAAAUUUUGGUACAUAAUCCAAUAACAAUUGGAAAAAAAAAAAAAAAACCCUUAAAAUGCAUAAUCAUGAAAAAAGGAAGAAAACCAUCUAUGAUGAAGCAAAAACUAAAACGGUGUCGAAAAAUGAAGCCCUUAAGCCAUAAAAAUCAGUCAACUCAAGUCAUGCAUGGUCUCAGAACCAUGAAAAAAGAUAGAAAAUGACCUUUUUUUUUUUUGUGGUGGCCGGGGUUUGAACUCCGGACCUUGCAUAUUUUAUGCAUUGUCCUACCAACUAAGCUAAGCUCACGAGGACGAAGAAAAUGACCUCUUAUGAAGAAGAAAGUGAAACAGUGUUCCCGACUGAACUUAGAUACCGUUUGGUCAAGGUUUUUUACAUUAUAAAAGUUACUUCAAAACAAAGUAAAAAUAAAGGCCUUUAUGAAAGAAACUAAAGUUAUUUGGUUUUUUUGUUUUGUUAGUUUUAAAGCUAUUUAAGUUUAAUGUUGUUUGGCAAAAUAUUGUACAAACUUUGAAUUUAUUAUUUUUUAUAUGGUGUCUGGGGUUCGAACUCCGGACUUGGCAUGUAUUUAUGCAUUGUUCCUAUCAACUGAGCUAAACUCAUGAGGACAAAACUUUGAAUUUAUUAUUAAUUAACAUAAUAAAUAAAUAAAAUGUUUAGAAUAAUUUAUGAAGGCUAAAAAUGUUAAAAAAAUAAAAGAUAUUUUUUUUACAAAUACGAUAUUUACUCAAUAACGUUUAUUUUGUGUAACAUGAAUACAAAUUAAUAUCAUCAUAUAAAUAACUUGUUAAAUAUUUGAAUAGGAGAAACAAUUUAAGGAGUCUGGAAUAAUAAUAUAAAUAAUAUCAAAAUAUUUGAUUUUUUCUAUUUCAAUUAUACUCUAUAACAAAUUUCGUUAUAAGAAUACCAUAUUUUUUGUGUCUUUCAAAAAGAUAAGAAUUUAUAUUAUAUGAUAUUAUAUUUGUUACAUUGUUGGUGUCAUGGAAACAGAUAUGUUUAAUUUUUUUGAACAUGAAAAUGAUAUGCAUAGUUUGUUACGAUAUAAAGGUGCAAUAUAUAUAUAUAUAUACACCUUUUUAGGCAUCUAUACCUUUUUUUGAAGAAAAGACAUCUACAAUUUUACUUUUAAUUAAAAUUUAAAUUUUAUAAAAAUAAUCAUACGCAUUAUGCAACGCUAAAAAAAAUUAUACACAUUAGCGUAACAAAAAAACAGACACACAUAAAGAAUUACUCUAAACGCUAAUGUGUAUGUGCGUAUAUAUUUGCGAGGUUGAAGAAAGAAAAUACAAAUAUUUGAUAUCAUUAAAUGACAGCGUGAAUAAAAAUAUUUGUGAAGUUGUGAUGAUUAAACGAUAUUGAAAUUAUAAGUGAUAAAAAGAUAAUAAAAUUCCUUUGAAAAAAAGGUAAUAAAAUUAAAUGGAACCUCCUUAAAAAAAAUUAAAUUGAACGCUUCAAAUUAAAUGGAAGAAAAAAAUAUAUUGAAGUAUAAUAUUAAAAAAUAAAAAAAAAGGUUCCCAACGUGAAUUGAAGAGAGAUGCUUGUGAAAUAAAUUGUCGAGAAGUAGUUUUUUGAAGAAGCAUUCAACAACUUUUGGUCAAAGUUCAUUGCAUUCAAUUUUAUGCAUUAAAAAAGGUACAUUUUUUAGAAAGUACUUAAUUGAUAUUGUAUUUGACCUAACUUCUCCUUAAAAAUAUAGGGAAGUUGAAAAAAAAAACCGGGUCAAACGGUAUCUUAAUUUCCCACAACGGCAGUGUAGAAACAACUGAAUUUGGGAGAAAAAAAUUGGAAAAUAGUUAAAAAUAAAAAAAAUUGAAAAAUAGUUAAAAAAAAUCGGUGAGGUAGCACCUAACCAAACAACACUAAAAAAAAUUAUAUGCAUCAGCGUAACAAAAAAACAGACAGACGGACAUAAAAUAUUACUCUAAACGUUAAUGUGUGUGUAUAUAUUCGCGAGGUUGAAGAAAGGAAAUAAAAAUAUUUGGUAUCAUUAAAUGACAGCGUGAAUAAAAAUAUUUGUGAGGUUGUGAUGAUUAAACAAUAUUGAAAUUAAAAUAAUUAAUAUUGUGUUUGACCCAACUUCUCCUUAAAAAUUUAGAGAAGUUGGAAAAAAGUCGGGUCAAGCGAUACCUUAAUCUCCCACAACGGUAAUGUAGAAGCCACUGAAUUUGGGAGAAAAAAUUGGAAAAUAGUUAAAACUAAAAAAUAAAAAAAUCGGUGAGGUAGCACCCAACCAAGCAACACCAAAAAAAAAUUAUAUGCAUUAUCGUAACAAAAAAAUAGACAAACAGACAUAUAAUAUUACUCGAAACAUUAAUGUGUGUGUAUAUUCGCGAGGUUGAAGAAAGGAAAUAAAAAUAUUUGAUAUCAUUAAAUGACAACGUGAAUAAAUAUAUCUGUGAGGUUGUGAUGAUUAAAUAAUAUUUAAAUUAAAAUAAUUGAUAUUGUGUUUGACCUAACUUCUCCUUAAAAAUGUAGAGAAUUUGGAAAAAAGCCGGGUCAAACGAUACCUUAGUCUCCCACAACGGCAAUGUAGAAGCAACUGAAUUUGGGAGAAAAAAUUGAAAAAUAGUUAAAAACAUAAAAAUUGGAAAAUAGUUAAAAGUUAUUAAAAAUUAGAAAAUAAUUUAAAAAAUUGGUGAGGGGCAAAAUGGGAAAUUUGGCAUAAAAAAGAUGAGGUGGCACCAAACCAAACCCACCAAUUAGAAAAUUACUUAAAUGCCCAUUCCAGGGACAAAAUGGGAAUUUCAUAUGGCAUCAAUUUUAAUAGAGUAUAUAGACCACUCACAUUACACAAAUGUUGAAAUAUAUGAUGCAUAUUACUUUUUAAAUUUUUGGUUUAUAGUUGCAUUUUUUUUAGGGUUAAUAGUGUUUUUCACCCUUGUAAUAUAUGUCAUUUUCGGUUUUCGACCCUAUAAAAUUUUUAGUUUUAUUUUAACCCUCGUAAAAUUUUUAUUUUCCGGAAAAGACCCUUAAUAGGCCAUUCAAAAACCAAAAUUUCUUGAAAAAAAUUCUGAAAAUGGCCUAUUAGGGGUCUUUUCCGGAAAAUAAAAAUUAUACGAGGGACCACCUGUUGAGAAACCACCUGUACACAAGCCACCAGUUGAGAAGCUACCUGUUUACAAGCCACCUGUAGAGAAACCUCCGGUGUACAAGCCACCUGUUGAGAAGCCCCCAGUUUACAAACCUCCAGUAGAGAAGCCUCUAGUGCACAAGCCACCAGUUGAUAAACCACCUGUACACAAGCCACCAGUUGAGAAGCUACCUGUUUACAAGCCACCUGUAGAGAAACCUCCGGUGUACAAGCCACCAGUUGAGAAGCCCCCAGUUCACAAACCUCCAGUAGAGAAGCCUCCAGUUCACAAACCUCAAGUGGAGAAGCCACCUGUAUACAAGCCACCAGUUGAGAAGUUUCCAAUUUACAAACCUCUAGUAGAGAAGCCUCCAGUGCACAAGCCACGAGUUGAGAAACCACCUGUACACAAGCCACCAGUUGAGAAGCUACCUUUUUACAAGCCACCUGCAAAGAAACCUCCGGUGUACAAGCCACCAGUUGAGAAG